This 492-nucleotide ribosomal RNA is filed under the name uncultured bacterium. RNAcentral's name for it is "partial 16S ribosomal RNA". It matches the Rfam family "Bacterial small subunit ribosomal RNA", at positions 29 to 507 of the family's 1533-position model. The record is from RNAcentral.
AGUGAACGCUGGCGGUAGACCUAACACAUGCAAGUCGAACGGCAGCACAGUAAGAGCUUGCUCUUACGGGUGGCGAGUGGCGGACGGGUGAGGAAUACAUCGGAAUCUACUUUUUCGUGGGGGAUAACGUAGGGAAACUUACGCUAAUACCGCAUACGACCUACGGGUGAAAGCAGGGGAUCUUCGGACCUUGCGCGAUUGAAUGAGCCGAUGUCGGAUUAGCUAGUUGGCGGGGUAAAGGCCCACCAAGGCGACGAUCCGUAGCUGGUCUGAGAGGAUGAUCAGCCACACUGGAACUGAGACACGGUCCAGCCUCCUACGGGAGGCAGCAGUGGGGAAUAUUGGACAAUGGGCGCAAGCCUGAUCCAGCCAUACCGCGUGGGUGAAGAAGGCCUUCGGGUUGUAAAGCCCUUUUGUUGGGAAAGAAAAGCAGCAGGUUAAUACCCCGCUGUUCUGACGGUACCCAAAGAAUAAGCACCGGCUAACUUCGUG